This 632-nucleotide long non-coding RNA is filed under the name Hordeum vulgare. RNAcentral describes it as "long non-coding RNA (HVUL_LNC019390)". The record is from RNAcentral. Lineage: Eukaryota; Viridiplantae; Streptophyta; Magnoliopsida; Poales; Poaceae.
GUGGAGGAUAAAGGAGGACGGGAGAAGAGGGGCGAUCGACGGGGAGCCUCGCCCGAGAAGCUCUGUUCGGCGGGCAGCAAGGCGAUGGGGCAUGUCCAUGAGGGGCGGCGGCGCAUGAGGGGUGAGGGCAGAGGCGAGCGAGCGCUCGGGGCUGGUAGCAGCUACGCGUGGGCUUUUCCGGGCCCCAAUGGGAUCGGGCGGGCUUGCCCCGGGUCCGGGCGGGCCUAUCACAGUGGGAGGAGAAAGGAGGCGCAGUUGGGACAGGUGUCGACGCUAGUGUGGUUGCAGGAGGCGGCUAAGGUGGCUGGCUGGCUGGCGGCGGCACGCCAAGUGGCAACGGGGGACGGGCCGAUGCGGGAAAUGAAGUUGGGGUCGAAGGAGACUACAUUAGGCAUGGGAGGUCAUCUAUUUACAGCAAGGGAGGCUAUGGUUAGCUGAUUUAGUCCGUUUUUGGAUCGUUUGAUCGAUCGGACAGUCCGGAAGUGAAGAGGGUUGGGGUAGGCUUAGUGGGCUGUGUAGAUGGGGUUGGGCCAAGAAGAGAAGGAGGUUUUGCGGCCCGAGACACGAAUUUUAAAUACCGAAAUGUCCGAUAAUAAACCCGGCUAUAGUGUCGUCAUACAUUUAACGGUUCG